RNAcentral lists this ribosomal RNA (493 nucleotides) under uncultured bacterium. Its description in RNAcentral is "partial 16S ribosomal RNA". It matches the Rfam family "Bacterial small subunit ribosomal RNA", at positions 29 to 508 of the family's 1533-position model. The record is from RNAcentral.
AGUGAACGCUGGCGGUAGGCCUAACACAUGCAAGUCGAACGGCAGCACAGUAAGAGCUUGCUCUUACGGGUGGCGAGUGGCGGACGGGUGAGGAAUACAUCGGAAUCUACUUUUUCGUGGGGGAUAACGUAGGGAAACUUACGCUAAUACCGCAUACGACCUACGGGUGAAAGCAGGGGAUCUUCGGACUUUGCGCGAUUGAAUGAGCCGAUGUCGGAUUAGCUGGUUGGCGGGUUAAAGGCCCACCAAGGCGACGAUCCGUAGCUGGUCUGAGAGGAUGAUCAGCCACACUGGAACUGAGACACGGUCCAGACUCCUACGGGAGGCAGCAGUGGGGAAUAUUGGACAAUGGGCGCAAGCCUGAUCCAGCCAUACCGCGUGGGUGAAGAAGGCCUUCGGGUUGUAAAGCCCUUUUGUUGGGAAAGAAAAGCAGCAGGUUAAUACCCCGCUGUUCUGACGGUACCCAAAGAAUAAGCACCGGCUAACUUCGUGC